RNAcentral lists this ribosomal RNA (465 nucleotides) under Vreelandella stevensii. RNAcentral's name for it is "partial 16S ribosomal RNA". It matches the Rfam family "Bacterial small subunit ribosomal RNA", at positions 338 to 795 of the family's 1533-position model. Lineage: Bacteria; Pseudomonadati; Pseudomonadota; Gammaproteobacteria; Oceanospirillales; Halomonadaceae. The record is from RNAcentral.
CCUACGGGAGGCUGCAGUGGGGAAUAUUGGACAAUGGGGGGAACCCUGAUCCAGCCAUGCCGCGUGUGUGAAGAAGGCCCUCGGGUUGUAAAGCACUUUCAGUGAGGAAGAACGCCUGGUGGUUAAUACCCAUCAGGAAAGACAUCACUCACAGAAGAAGCACCGGCUAACUCCGUGCCAGCAGCCGCGGUAAUACGGAGGGUGCGAGCGUUAAUCGGAAUUACUGGGCGUAAAGCGCGCGUAGGUGGCUUGAUAAGCCGGUUGUGAAAGCCCCGGGCUCAACCUGGGAACGGCAUCCGGAACUGUCAAGCUAGAGUGCAGGAGAGGAAGGUAGAAUUCCCGGUGUAGCGGUGAAAUGCGUAGAGAUCGGGAGGAAUACCAGUGGCGAAGGCGGACUUCUGGACUGACACUGACACUGAGGUGCGAAAGCGUGGGUAGCAAACAGGAUUAGAUACCCGUGUAGUC